GUUCUUAUAGUUGAGUAACAACGAUGGUUUUUCAAGCCAUAGGGCUAAGUUAAAGUCUUAGUAGGAAUG
This 69-nucleotide transfer RNA is filed under the name Gambusia holbrooki (eastern mosquitofish). RNAcentral describes it as "tRNA-Glu". It matches the Rfam family "tRNA". Rfam says of the family: Transfer RNA (tRNA) molecules are approximately 80 nucleotides in length. Lineage: Eukaryota; Metazoa; Chordata; Actinopteri; Cyprinodontiformes; Poeciliidae. The record is from RNAcentral.